GGGGAUUUAGCUCGGCAGCAUAAGCGCCUGCCUUGCAAGCAGGUGGUCGUGAGUUCAAUCCCUG
RNAcentral lists this transfer RNA (64 nucleotides) under Cavia porcellus (domestic guinea pig). It matches the Rfam family "tRNA". Rfam says of the family: Transfer RNA (tRNA) molecules are approximately 80 nucleotides in length. Their secondary structure includes four short double-helical elements and three loops (D, anti-codon, and T loops). Lineage: Eukaryota; Metazoa; Chordata; Mammalia; Rodentia; Caviidae. The record is from Rfam by way of RNAcentral.